CGCAUAGACGCUCAACCCAUUAAUGCCCAUAAUAUUUUGAUUUGUUUUCCCAUUUUGACGUCUUCGCUGGUGUGGGAGAUGGCGAAAAAUAGAGAGAAAAGAAAGAAAAACAUUUAGGCAUUGUAUUAAGUUUAGUACACCAUUGGCGGGGAUUUCCGAAAUCUCAUUAAGCGGUUGCGGCAUAAAUAUUUACUCGGUUUGAGGCUAAAUCGGGACGUUUUCAAGAUUUAUUACUCCUGCAUUCAGCUUUGAGUACACGUGUGGAGCUCUCUGCGUCGUGGUUUCAAAGUAUCAUUUCAAACAUUUAUUUAUCGAUCGUUUUUGGCUCGGAACAACAGUUGGGAUCCAUUGAAGGUUCCUUAAAAUCAAUGUGGGAAACUCGAUCCUACCACAUUAGAUGGUCUCAGAAGUCUGCCUGCAGGCUUCCAUUUUCUGUUUAGAAGAUCACCCUAAAUCUUUGGUCGGCGUCUGGAAGUCUCUGGAAGUCAUGCCCUAUGCCAAGAAUAGGAUGCUCGAAUGCCUUUCCGGUGUGAAUUCAUUCUCUGAAAUUCCUCAAUCAGCAACUUUCACCUCGAGUGAGUGAGUAAUUCCGGCGGGUUCCUUUCCGCAUCGGCUUUCAGCAUCCAGUGCUAUAGCACGCCACACGACGAAUGAGUAAUCUAGCAUUAAUUUCAAACAAUUGCCACACAAACAUGGAAUCGGCCAAAGGUAUUGAGUACGAUUUUCAAGAAAAAUCCGUAAAAAGUAAAUAAACCAGAGCGGAUAUCAUGCUA
Molecule: small RNA, 773 nt
Filed under: Drosophila pseudoobscura pseudoobscura
Lineage: Eukaryota; Metazoa; Arthropoda; Insecta; Diptera; Drosophilidae
Description: GA31063
Source: RNAcentral